CAAUAGCGUAUAUUAAAGUUGUUGCGGUUAAAAAGCUCGUAGUUGGACUUCUGCGGGUGGCGGCCGGUCGUGCUCGAAACGGGCGUGAACUUGGCGUGCUGCCCGCAUCUUUGGGGAGAUUGUGCGUGGCAUUAAGUUGUCGUGCAUGGGAUUCUCAUCAUUUACUGUGAAAAAAUUAGAGUGUUUAAAGCAGGCCUUUGCCUUGAAUACAUUAGCAUGGAAUAAUAAGAUAGGACCGUUGUCUAUUUUGUUGGUUUACAGAUGUCGGUAAUGAUUAAUAGGGAUAGUUGGGGGUAUUCGUAUUCAGUUGUCAGAGGUGAAAUUCUUGGAUUUUCGGAAGACGCACGACUGCGAAAGCAUUUACCAAGGAUGUUUUCAUUAA
RNAcentral lists this ribosomal RNA (382 nucleotides) under uncultured eukaryote. Its description in RNAcentral is "partial 18S ribosomal RNA". It matches the Rfam family "Eukaryotic small subunit ribosomal RNA", at positions 592 to 976 of the family's 1831-position model. The record is from RNAcentral.